UACGUAGGUGACAAGCGUUGUCCGGAUUUACUGGGCGUAAAGAGCGCGCAGGCGGUCGUUCAAGUCGAGUGUGAAAGCCCCCGGCUCAACUGGGGAGGGUCACUCGAUACUGAUCGACUCGAAGGCAGGAGAGGGUAGUGGAAUUCCCGGUGUAGUGGUGAAAUGCGUAGAUAUCAGGAAGAACACCCGUGGCGAAGGCGGUUCUCUGGGACGGUACUGACGCUGAGACGCGAAAGCGUGGGGAGCGAACAGG
This 253-nucleotide ribosomal RNA is filed under the name uncultured bacterium. RNAcentral describes it as "partial 16S ribosomal RNA". It matches the Rfam family "Bacterial small subunit ribosomal RNA", at positions 524 to 776 of the family's 1533-position model. The record is from RNAcentral.